GUCCAUGAAAGACCAGGCUUCCUCUUCGCCGAACGUCUGAAGCCAGGCGGAGACGUCGAGGAAGCCUGUGCCGGAGG
This 77-nucleotide small RNA is filed under the name Sinorhizobium meliloti 2011. RNAcentral's name for it is "putative ncRNA". Lineage: Bacteria; Pseudomonadati; Pseudomonadota; Alphaproteobacteria; Hyphomicrobiales; Rhizobiaceae. The record is from RNAcentral.